AGCUUUGCGCAGUGGCAGUAUCGUAGCCAAUGAGGUUUAUCUGAGGAGCGAUUAUUGCUAAUUGAAAAAAAAAUAAAAAGGCGAUCCACUGCUGUUCACAUCAUGAUUUGUUGUGAUUAAUGUAUGUGGAUGAGGACA
Molecule: small nuclear RNA, 138 nt
Organism: Suncus etruscus (white-toothed pygmy shrew)
Lineage: Eukaryota; Metazoa; Chordata; Mammalia; Eulipotyphla; Soricidae
Product: U4 spliceosomal RNA
Exons: 1
Source: RefSeq, a predicted model, not a curated record